Long non-coding RNA from Ornithodoros turicata, 435 nucleotides. RefSeq lists it as uncharacterized. The record is from RefSeq and is a predicted model, not a curated record. Lineage: Eukaryota; Metazoa; Arthropoda; Arachnida; Ixodida; Argasidae. The transcript has 3 exons.
UUAUCCAUCUCGUACUUUUUACCAUAAGGUUGCGAGUAUGUUUCUUGAGAAAUACCCACACCUGGCGGACACAAUUGGGGAUGGGUUUAGUUCUUGGAUUGUCUCCCUCCGCAACAAAUUUAAGAAUGAGAUAAGAAAAAUGCAGCACAAUGAACAGGUCAUAGAAAAUAGAAUCAGAUUUGGGAACAGGAAACGUCAAAGCGAUACGGAACAUGCAUCACAAGCUGAGUUCCAAAGGGUGAAGCGUCAGCAUGAAGGUCUGCCCAGUAUUGCUGACCAUGAAGACUGCACAAGCUUACAAAACCAUGAAGAAUGGCUUAAGAGUGAAAUGGACAGAAAUGCUCCUGACGAAGAACUAAUAAAAGUUAGGAUGGCUGCAACCCACAAAGUAAGGUGUGCAGACCUGGCAACAAUGCCUGUAUCGGCUGCUACUGA